Molecule: unclassified non-coding RNA, 764 nt
Organism: Pogonomyrmex barbatus (red harvester ant)
Lineage: Eukaryota; Metazoa; Arthropoda; Insecta; Hymenoptera; Formicidae
Source: RefSeq, a predicted model, not a curated record
UAUAGAUUUCAGUCCAGUUCUGCCAGACGCCAUCGGCAGUCUCUAGUAUUCCAAAUUAAAAUCUAUAUGAUUUUUAAAUGUUUAAUUAAAAUUAUCUGGAUGACUCGUUUUCAAUGACACUUUAUAAUUCUUUAUAGACUCGAAAUCUAAUAUACGUAAUGAAUUAUAUAUUUUCUGUACUAGCAGUGAAUAUCAGAACGUAGCCAUAAUAGUAUUAUAUAGAGAUGGAUGUACGUAUGUACUUACAUAUGUAUAUUACAUAACAAUCGAACUGAUUCUAACCUGCAAGAGCCAACGAAAUCGAUCGAUUAAUGCUGCUUUUAAAUCUUUGAUGGGGUCUGUCAACUUCAAAGCUAUUGGAACCUUGAUUAGGCGGAACUUGAUCAGUGUGAUAUUCCCUACGGCUACAGUGUUAUCAAUUUACGCAGAUUUGAAACACACAGCUCGCUGGAAACAACAACUCGCUGCACAACAGGAAAGUGAAAUUGCAAAAUAUGGGUCUAUCGCAUAAACACAUCUGGAAGAUGUAUUGGACACUUAUCUUUCCUUUUGCUGGUUUUAUGCUUGGUCAUAAGAUAGACAAGAUGGAAACGAACCGAAUGACAAUGUUUAGAGAUAAAUCAGCAUUGUAUGGUAGAGAGUUAAAGCCUGGAGAAUCUCCUUCCUGGCCGUAUUAAUUCUAUCAUUAUAUAUCACUGAACUUAAAUUACAGAAAUUAGUCCUUAUGUAAGUUAAUAAAUAAAUACAAUGAAUUACAAAAGUUA